UACAGGGGGUGCAAGCGUUGCUCGGAAUUAUUGGGCGUAAAGCGCGCGUAGGCGGCUACUUAAGUCGGAUGUGAAAGCCCCUGGCUCAACUGGGGAAGUGCACCCGAAACUGAGUGGCUUGAGUACUAAAGAGGGUCGCGGAAUUCCCGGUGUAGAGGUGAAAUUCGUAGAUAUCGGGAGGAACACCGGUGGCGAAGGCGGCGACCUGGGUAGAUACUGACGCUGAGGCGCGAAAGCGUGGGGAGCAAACAGG
Molecule: ribosomal RNA, 253 nt
Filed under: uncultured bacterium
Lineage: Bacteria
Description: partial 16S ribosomal RNA
Rfam family: Bacterial small subunit ribosomal RNA
Source: RNAcentral